CCCUUUCAUCAGUCAAAAUGUCUGCUUCCUUGAGUUGUCAGAGUGUGAUAUCGGUGACAAACAUGUUGACAUUCGUUCAAUAAUUUGUUCAAUAACGGUUUGAGAUUAUUCUACUUUAAAGUGUUGUGAUAUAUUCUAACGAUGACCAGUUGUUUUGAUACGUGGGCGAGGCUUUGACAAAUAGCGUGUUUCUGGCUAGCCAAUUAUAUAGCAGCUAACGUUAGCCAAUGUUACUUGGCUGUUGCUCGCGUCUUUGUUUCCACACCUUUGCCCCACAGAACGCGCUUGCCAGAGUCGACACUUCGAUAUACAAUAACUCUGCAACACGAGCACUUCAUGUCACUGCAGCAAGAAUCGUGCAGCUCGUAUUCGGGUGGGGAAAGGAGACCGACCACUAACCUAUGAGCAAGCACUCCACCCCCACCACAUAGGACACCGCAAGCUGGCUCUCCCAGCACACUAGUAACCUACAGGGAUUCCAUUCCAGUCUAGAACUAUUCACUACUUGUAAAUCAUGUGUUGGAGUUAAAUGGACUUAUGAAAAACUCAGUGGAAUGCUUUUUCGUUUAUUGAUUUCUCAUGACACAGUCACAUUGAACAAAGCAUUAAAAAGCUGCUUCAGUGCAAAAAGACAAGGCACACAGAUUACAUCAUCUUCGUCCAUAUCAAAGGUUAGAGUAUGAACAAUUCCCUUAAAUAUCAGUGAUAUAUUCCUGUCUGUAAGGCCACAUUGAUUUUUCAAAACAAUUAAAACGAUUCCACACGAA
Molecule: long non-coding RNA, 767 nt
Organism: Oncorhynchus kisutch (coho salmon)
Lineage: Eukaryota; Metazoa; Chordata; Actinopteri; Salmoniformes; Salmonidae
Exons: 3
Source: RefSeq, a predicted model, not a curated record